AACGCGAAGAACCUUACCUGGUCUUGACAUCCUCGGAACCUGCCAGAGAUGGCGGGGUGCCCGCAAGGGAGCCGAGAGACAGGUGCUGCAUGGCUGUCGUCAGCUCGUGUCGUGAGAUGUUGGGUUAAGUCCCGCAACGAGCGCAACCCUCGCCUUUAGUUGCCACGCAAGUGGAUCUCUAGAGGGACUGCCGGUGUUAAACCGGAGGAAGGUGGGGAUGACGUCAAGUCCUCAUGGCCUUUAUGACCAGGGCUACACACGUGCUACAAUGGCCGGUACAAAGCGCUGCCAACUCGCGAGAGGGAGCCAAUCGCAUAAAACCGGUCUCAGUUCAGAUUGGAGUCUGCAACUCGACUCCAUGAAGGCGGAAUCGCUAGUAAUCGUAGAUCAGCACGCUACGGUGAAUACGUUCCCGGGCCUUGUACACACCGAGACGUA
RNAcentral lists this ribosomal RNA (438 nucleotides) under uncultured bacterium. RNAcentral's name for it is "bacterial SSU rRNA". It matches the Rfam family "Bacterial small subunit ribosomal RNA", at positions 958 to 1398 of the family's 1533-position model. The record is from RNAcentral.